GAAAACCCUCCCUCCCAAAAAUAAUUAGAGAAAACCCCCUUACCUAAUAUUCUACCCAAAUAUUAUUUAAUAAUUCCCAAACCACCCUUAUUACCCUAACCCAUUGCCUGCCGUUCUCUCUUCUUCUUUUGUCGUUCCUCUUCUCGUCUUCUCACUUUUCUCUUCUCUUGGCAAUUACCUCCGCCAUGGAUUAUCGGUUAGAGGAAGAUGCCUUUGUAUUCGUCACCCAACUGGCCAUGGAGGUGGUGUUCUUCGGAUCUGGCUACAAGCGGCGGCCGAAAUCUUCAGAUCUGAAAUCUCCGGCGAUCUGGUGGACGGAAUCUGAGGAGGAGGAGGGGAAAUCGUCUGCGGCGGAGUGCAUAUCGGUAUGUUUUCGGGAACUUUGAGCUCCGUUUCUUCCUUGUCUCUCUUCUGAGCCAUAGAUUCGGCCGGGAUGAAAGGUGUUCUAGAAUAUAGAAGUGGGAUGGUGAUGCUGUGGUGUGGCGACGAUGUGGUGACGAUGAAGAACAGAUCUAGGGUUUUUUUGGUGGAUUGUGGCGGAAGACGGCGCAGAAAAAAAAAUUCGCGCAUCAGGGCCCUUAAUCGACUACGUGGUUUAAUCGACUAUGUUCAAUAGUCGAUUAAGGCUUAAUCGACUAUGUUCAAUAGUCGAUUAACGCUUAAUCGACUAUGUUCAGUAGUCGAUUAAGGUUAACC
RNAcentral lists this long non-coding RNA (696 nucleotides) under Erythranthe guttata (spotted monkey flower). Its description in RNAcentral is "long non-coding RNA (EGUT_LNC003109)". The record is from RNAcentral. Lineage: Eukaryota; Viridiplantae; Streptophyta; Magnoliopsida; Lamiales; Phrymaceae.